RNAcentral lists this ribosomal RNA (228 nucleotides) under uncultured bacterium. RNAcentral's name for it is "partial 16S ribosomal RNA". It matches the Rfam family "Bacterial small subunit ribosomal RNA", at positions 568 to 795 of the family's 1533-position model. The record is from RNAcentral.
UACGUAGGCGGAAUAUUAAGUCAGUGGUGAAAUCCUGCAGCUUAACUGUAGAAUUGCCAUUGAUACUGAUCUUCUUGAAUUUAGUUGAGGUGGGCGGAAUGUGUAAUGUAGCGGUGAAAUGCUUAGAUAUUACACAGAACACCGAUUGCGAAGGCAGCUCACUAAACUAACAUUGACGCUAAGGUACGAAAGCGUGGGGAGCGAACAGGAUUAGAUACCCUGGUAGUC